RNAcentral lists this ribosomal RNA (1196 nucleotides) under Escherichia coli. Its description in RNAcentral is "partial 23S ribosomal RNA". It matches the Rfam family "Bacterial large subunit ribosomal RNA", at positions 1 to 1239 of the family's 2925-position model. The record is from RNAcentral. Lineage: Bacteria; Pseudomonadati; Pseudomonadota; Gammaproteobacteria; Enterobacterales; Enterobacteriaceae.
GUUAAGCGACUAAGCGUACACGGUGGAUGCCCUGGCAGUCAGAGGCGAUGAAGGACGUGCUAAUCUGCGAUAAGCGUCGGUAAGGUGAUAUGAACCGUUAUAACCGGCGAUUUCCGAAUGGGGAAACCCAGUGUGAUUCGUCACACUAUCAUUAACUGAAUCCAUAGGUUAAUGAGGCGAACCGGGGGAACUGAAACAUCUAAGUACCCCGAGGAAAAGAAAUCAACCGAGAUUCCCCCAGUAGCGGCGAGCGAACGGGGAGGAGCCCAGAGCCUGAAUCAGUGUGUGUGUUAGUGGAAGCGUCUGGAAAGGCGCGCGAUACAGGGUGACAGCCCCGUACACAAAAAUGCACAUACUGUGAGCUCGAUGAGUAGGGCGGGACACGUGGUAUCCUGUCUGAAUAUGGGGGGACCAUCCUCCAAGGCUAAAUACUCCUGACUGACCGAUAGUGAACCAGUACCGUGAGGGAAAGGCGAAAAGAACCCCGGCGAGGGGAGUGAAAAAGAACCUGAAACCGUGUACGUACAAGCAGUGGGAGCACGCUUCGGCGUGUGACUGCGUACCUUUUGUAUAAUGGGUCAGCGACUUAUAUUCUGUAGCAAGGUUAACCGAAUAGGGGAGCCGAAGGGAAACCGAGUCUUAACUGGGCGUUAAGUUGCAGGGUAUAGACCCGAAACCCGGUGAUCUAGCCAUGGGCAGGUUGAAGGUUGGGUAACACUAACUGGAGGACCGAACCGACUAAUGUUGAAAAAUUAGCGGAUGACUUGUGGCUGGGGGUGAAAGGCCAAUCAAACCGGGAGAUAGCUGGUUCUCCCCGAAAGCUAUUUAGGUAGCGCCUCGUGAAUUCAUCUCCGGGGGUAGAGCACUGUUUCGGCAAGGGGGUCAUCCCGACUUACCAACCCGAUGCAAACUGCGAAUACCGGAGAAUGUUAUCACGGGAGACACACGGCGGGUGCUAACGUCCGUCGUGAAGAGGGAAACAACCCAGACCGCCAGCUAAGGUCCCAAAGUCAUGGUUAAGUGGGAAACGAUGUGGGAAGGCCCAGACAGCCAGGAUGUUGGCUUAGAAGCAGCCAUCAUUUAAAGAAAGCGUAAUAGCUCACUGGUCGAGUCGGCCUGCGCGGAAGAUGUAACGGGGCUAAACCAUGCACCGAAGCUGCGGCAGCGACACUAUGUGUUGUUGGGUAGGGGAGCGU